AAUUUUAUGACCUAUCUUACCACGUCUAAAACAGGCACCGGUGUUCCAAUGGCAAUCCUUGUCAGCAUGAGCCUUACCACAUCUAGAACAUUUAUUGAUAUUCACCUGCUUAGGGUUGUCACUCGUUGAUUUCUUGUUUGAACUUCCGGCGUUUUCAUUGCUCUGCCCCUGAAAUUCAUUCGAUCUGUUCCUCUUCUUUUGAUUUCUUUCCCUUUCCAACCGUUCAUCAUUAACUUCCCUUUCAAUUAUUAAAGCCUUAUUUACCACAGCUGCAUAGGUAGUCAAUUCAUAAGGUACCACUUGUUUUCUAAUUUCAGUCUUUAGUCCCAUCUCAAAUUUAUG
This 342-nucleotide long non-coding RNA is filed under the name Phoenix dactylifera (date palm). Its description in RNAcentral is "long non-coding RNA (PDAC_LNC015548)". Lineage: Eukaryota; Viridiplantae; Streptophyta; Magnoliopsida; Arecales; Arecaceae. The record is from RNAcentral.